GACGAACGCUGGCGGCGUGCUUAACACAUGCCAGUCGAACGGAAAGGCCCUGCUUUUGUGGGGUGCUCGAGUGGCGAACGGGUGAGUAACACGUGAGUAACCUGCCCUUGACUUUGGGAUAACUUCAGGAAACUGGGGCUAAUACCGGUAGGAGCUCCUGCUGCAUGGUGGGGGUUGGAAAGUUUCGGCGGUUGGGGAUGGACUCGCGGCUUAUCAGCUUGUUGGUGGGGUAGUGGCUUACCAAGGCUUUGACGGGUAGCCGGCCUGAGAGGGUGACCGGCCACAUUGGGACUGAGAUACGGCCCAGACUCCUACGGGAGGCAGCAGUGGGGAAUAUUGCACAAUGGGCGGAAGCCUGAUGCAGCAACGCCGCGUGCGGGAUGACGGCCUUCGGGUUGUAAACCGCUUUCGCCUGUGACGAAGCGUGAGUGACGGUAAUGGGUAAAGAAGCACCGGCUAACUACGUG
This 467-nucleotide ribosomal RNA is filed under the name uncultured bacterium. Its description in RNAcentral is "partial 16S ribosomal RNA". It matches the Rfam family "Bacterial small subunit ribosomal RNA", at positions 28 to 507 of the family's 1533-position model. The record is from RNAcentral.